AUGCUUUUCCUUGAGGAAUUAGAGGCCAGGAGAUCGCUCUGUCCGGGCGCGUGGCUGGUCAUUGGAGACUUCAACAUGAUCCUCCAAGCCACGGAUAAGAACAACUCACUCAUUGAUAGACACAUGAUGCAUAAAUUCCGCCAGUUUGUUGACGGCAACAGUCUCAAGGAGCUUUAUAUGCACGGGAGAGCCUAUACUUGGAGCAACGAAAGAGACUCCCCCACCCUUACGAAGAUUGAUAAGGCCCUAGUUUCUGUGGAUUGGGAGCUGGCGCAUCCGGACUGCCUCCUGCAAGCUCUAUCCACUUCCUCCUCGGAUCAUUGCCCUUUGCAUCUUACCCUUCAGGAGAGCAUGCACCCACAGAAGCGCUUUAGAUUCGAGGUGUUUUGGACCAAGCUUGAGGGCUAUGAGGAUGCGGUGAAGGAUGCUUGGGUGUGCGACCCAGCCGUGCAUGACCCUUUCAAACGCUUGGAUAUCUUGCUAAGGAACACGGCGCGAUACCUGACUUCAUGGGGGCAAAAAAAGAUGGGCAAUAUUAAGCUUCAGAUUGCGAUCGCGAACUGGAUCAUCUUCCAGUUGGAUGUGGCGCAGGAAAAGCGCCGGCUUACGGAUGGGGAACGGUGGCUUAGGAGGACAUUAAAGUUGACCACACUAGGUCUUGCCUCGCUUGAGCGCACAAUUGCUCGCCAAAGAUCGAGGAUACGCUGGAUUCAAGAGAGUGAUGCAAGCACCAAACUGUUCUACCUCGUGGCGAAUGGGAGGAAGACGAAGAAUUUCAUUCCAGCGAUAUCGCAUGAUGGGAACUUGAUCACAGAUCAGCUUGGGAAAGAGCAGCUCUUCUUUGAGGCCUACAAAGAUCUGCUGGGAACUGCGAGGAGGCGCGACAACACCGUGGAUUUGGACUUCCUUAGGAUCCAACCCAUCAACUUGAACGACCAGGACACGGUGUUUACGGAGGAGGAUCUGUGGGCCACCAUUAAAGAGAUGCCCGCUGAUCGGGCGCCCGGUCCGGAUGGAUUCAUUGGAUUAUUCUUCCAUAAGUCUUGGAGUACUGUCAAGGGAGACGUGAUGGCCGCUCUGCACCACUUGUUUCUUGGCAAUGGUCACGGAUUUGGGCGCCUCAACCAAGCUCUUAUCACGCUAAUCCCGAAGAAGCGGGGAGCUUGUCAGGUGGGAGAUUUUAGGCCUAUUAGCUUGGUGCAUAGCUUGCCAAAGAUUGGAUCCAAAUUACUAGCGAACAGACUAAGACCACGCAUGAAUGAGCUCGUACAGCCCAACCAGUCGGUGUUUAUCAAAGGAAGGAACUUGCAUGACAAUUUCUUGCUUGUCAGACAAGUAGCUCGGUCUCUUCACCGACGUAAAUCUAAAGGAGUCAUGCUUAAACUGGACAUCUCGAAGGCCUUCGACAGCUUAUCUUGGCCUUUCUUGUUUGAAGUCCUUCAGGCCAAGGGCUUUUCAGAAACAUGGCUCUCCUGUAUAUCCACGCUCCUAUCCACAGCUCACUCCCGUGUGGUAGUCAACGGCUAUGUAGGUCAAAAAUUCUUGCAUGCUCAAGGCUUACGCCAGGGAGAUCCCGUCUCACCACUCCUAUUCGUCAUCGCUAUGGACGUGCUCACAUCUCUCAUCAACACAGCACAGGAGUGCAAUGUGCUGAGUACUAUGCCGGGUUGCACGCCGAUGCAAAGGCUUUCUAUAUAUGCGAAUGAUGUGGUUCUAUUUAUCAGGCCCACCACCUCUGAUCUUCGGUUCGUCAGAGAGGCUUUGCACAUCUUCGGAAAUGCCUCGGGUUUGCGUAUAAACUAUGAGAAAUCAGUGGCAAUCCUGAUCAGAGAGGAAGACGGAGACAAGGAGCUUGUCCAAGGGGCGAUGCCUUGGCGCUUGGAGAGUUUUCCCUGCAAGUAUCUGGGCCUCCAACUAUCCAUCUGA
This 1926-nucleotide ribosomal RNA is filed under the name Triticum aestivum (bread wheat). Its description in RNAcentral is "partial small subunit ribosomal RNA". Lineage: Eukaryota; Viridiplantae; Streptophyta; Magnoliopsida; Poales; Poaceae. The record is from RNAcentral.